RNAcentral lists this long non-coding RNA (813 nucleotides) under Musa acuminata (dwarf banana). RNAcentral's name for it is "long non-coding RNA (MACU_LNC001744)". The record is from RNAcentral. Lineage: Eukaryota; Viridiplantae; Streptophyta; Magnoliopsida; Zingiberales; Musaceae.
AUUUAUUGAACAUUAUGACCAUGCACAAAGAAAAAAUGAGAUAAAUACUGUUAAUUUGUGAUCAGACUAAUUUAAGCCAUAGAUGCACACAAGAAUAACCUCAGCAUAUAUAUGUUAAGGCACAAUACAUAUCAGAGUAUGUGGUCAUGUGGAGAUCUAGAGAUUAAUGUCAAUAUUUUACUGAUUAUACCGACAGGAGCAAAUGGAAAACAUGAUAUUGAAAAAGGAAAUGGCUCUCAUACUAGAACUUGAAGCAGAUGGAAAAAGAGGACUGCAGAGCUACAUGACAUUUACUGACUUGAAUAGAAUAAACCCAUUCAAUCAUUAUCUCACUCCCCUUGCUCCUAGUAUCAGUAAUAUCAGACUUACUAGGGUUAUCUUAUUCUGCUCAAUUGUGCCUGCCAUUACACAUUAUGGAAGAUAAACUGGAUCAAGGUUUUAAAUGCCACAUUCAUUCUGCCCAUGCUGAUCAGAGAAUGUUAUAUCAAGUGGAGCCAACCCAACCAUGAAGUACCUCAUAUAUCUGCCAAUGCAUAUAUAUUGGCAUAUCACAAGCAAGGUUCGCAAUACCGUACCGUACCGGUAUUUCGAUCUGGGCUCAGUACCGGUACGAUACGGUAUACCAAGUGGUACACCCAGGUGUACCGAGUACGGUAGCACUGCUAUAGUGCUACAGUACAGUACAACAGUACUCUCGGACCGGUAACAGUCGGUCCACGUACUAACAACCUAUCGGACCGGUACGUACCGCCUGUACCGGGCGGUAUGACUCCGUACGACAGACCCUGAUCACAAGUAAGGUAUGCAAUUUCG